UCUAAGUCUAGAAUGAGUCUUGGUUGAAUUUUUAGAGGCCCCGAGUGCGUUUCGAGUUUUUGAGCCUAAAGUUAGUUUCUUGACGCCUUAUCGGAUACCGGGUCAAGGAGAGUUCGAAUUCAAAUUCCGACGAUUUCAUUGAGUCCGAAAUGUCAUUUUCAAGCUAGUAGCAUAUUUGGUUUGUGUUCGGGAAGUGCCAAAUGAGUUUUGGGUGAGCUUUUAAGCUUCUUGGAUGCUUUGACACUAUUUCAGCAAAUUGUGGCAACUAAAGGGUUCAUUAUUAGUUUUAAAGGUCGAAAAACUAUUCCGAAGGUUCUGAAAUUUUGAGCAUGAAUUAUAGGACUUAUCUGAAAAAUUUUGGUGCAUUUUCGCUAACCCGAGAUUGGACUUUUUUCGCAAAUAAGAAAUAAUUGUUUACCGAGUAGAAAUGAUAUUUGACUGGGCAACGAGCAUAAAAUUGAGCUCCGAUUGAACGAGCAGGUCCGUAUCAUUAUAUAAGACAUUUACAAUAAAGAAUCGGGUCAUUUCACUAUCGUAUGAGGAAAUUACGGCCUUUUUUAGUGAAAGAUUAACUGCUGUUUUUUCUGGUGCAUAACAGCCAUGUACUGUUAUAAAAAUCACAGACUGUGUUCAUUUGGUAUUUUGAGCAUAUCGGGAGUUCUAGAGAUCGGAAUGGAGUGAUUCUUACGGGUUUCUUCUUGAAUUAAUAUGAGGGUUAGUAUUCAAUCUUCAAUUCGACAUUUUCUCAUAAUUUCUUUAUCUGAUUUUUUUUCCUAUCCGUAAAUCUCUUGGGAAAAAUUGGGGUUUUAUUGAUUUGGACUCCCUUUUUUAUGAAAAAGGUAUAUUUACGAUCCUUAUGUUAUGGAUAAACUGAUUUUAACAUAAAUUAUUGAUUCAUCGAUUAUUUUCAUCAUAUUAACCGCGUACAAUUUGGACUUUCCCGGUAAAGUUAAAGUUUGAUAAAUUGAGAAUUUCAAGGUCGAUCUUAACUCCGUUUUUGAUGAAAUUUCAUAUUUGAACUUAUCUAAGCAUGGGUAAGAUGUUUUUCAAGAAAUAUUUCAUUUUCGAGUCGGGGUUUCGGAUCCGAAUAUUUUAGGCUUCUUCAAGAACGAGGAUUUUCCUUCAAAUUGAGUUUGUGAAUUGAUUUCAACUCCGUUUUCAAAUUGGUUUUCACCAUUAGCUUCCAAAUACUUUAAGGAUCAUUUUACAUAAAAAAUUUCCAGAUUUGGGUAUCGUUUUCCGAUAUGAGACUUUUGGACCGUUUUGCCCUUUUCCCCUAAAUUUCUUGAUUUUGGUGUCAUUGGACUCGAAUUGUGAUUGUGAAUAAUUGUUUGAAUAGAUUAUCGUGAUCCGGAUUAUACUCGGAAAGGAAAGGCUCAAGUCAAGUAACUUUUGGAGUUCGUUUUAAGGCAAGUGGCUUCCAAACUUUGUAAAACUCUUAGACUACGCAUGACUACUUUCCUAAUUGUGUUGGGGAGUAAGGGGGAUUGAGGAUGGGUUUUAUUUGUUGAUUGAAAUUGUUGUAAAUGAAAGAUGGGGAAAUAAAACGAGCUAAAUGUGUUAUAUGUAACUUGAAUUUGUUGAAUAAGUCAUGUGAUAACUGAUAUUGAGGGGAUAGAAGAGCAUGAGUAGGCUAUGAUUGAUACAGACAUUGAUGUUGAAACAGAUGAUGUGUAAUACUAUGAUGUGAUCGUGAUAUGAUUGUGAUUGAUGACAUGUGCAUAUUCAUUAUUCAUCCCAUGUGUGAACUAUCUGUUGCAUGAGUUCUGAGACACUGAUAUGAGGAUGGAUGGAUAUGAGACACAGUUGAGACUAGCUCCGGCUAGCGAUUUGGAUGCCGAUGGGAUCUGGUUCCGGCGGUGAUACAUGGUCCAUGUGUGGCCCCCAUGGGUUCUGAUUUGAGUAUUCAGCGCAGACUGAUUACGUCAACAGAUGUGUAUCGUAGGACAAACAUGCAUCACGACUACAUGACAUCAUUAUUGCAUUUUGCAUCGCAUUUGCCUUAUCUUUGUCUGUGAUGUGUGGAUUGUAUCGGUUUACCCUUCUUAUGUGAAAUUUGAUCUACUUGCUCUUAUUUGUUGAUCUGAGGUUGAUGAGGAUAUACUGUUGGUUCUGGCUGUUGAAUAUGAUCUGUUUAGUAUAGGUUGGUUGGUUUGCUGCUAGAUUGAAGUUUCGGUGGUUCGGUUGGGAUUGAAAGAAGUUGUUUGUAGCUGCUAGUUUAGCUUAGUUUAGUGUUACUUGCGAGUACCUAUUGCUUUUGGUACUCACCCUUGCUUCUACACAGUUGUGUAGGUUGACAGCUCUAUCAGAUCCGGCUUAUUACUCAUCUUCAGAUUAGAGCUUCCAGACUUACUUGAGAGGUAGCGGUUCAUUCCAGACGUGCCCUUGAGUUAUCUUUACUUUCAAUUUUGUUCUAUUCGAGAACUAUACUCUGAGACUUGUAUAUUUUUAUUCAAAUUCCGUAUUUAGAGGUUUGUACAUGUGACAACCAAUUCUGGGUAGUGUUGAGUCUUAAUUAAAGUCUUCCGCUUAUUUAUUAUCUUUUAUUCUCGUAUUUCUACUUCUCUAUCGUUGUGGUUGGGUUAGGCUGACGUGUCCGGUGGGAAAUGGACACGUGCCAUCACAUCCGGAUUUGGGAUGUGACAAACAAUUUCUUCAAUUCCACACAUGUCGGUGUGGGUGGGUUAGGCUGACGUGUCCGGUGGAAAAUGGACACGUGCCAUCACAUCCGGAUUUGGGGUGUGACAGUGUGCCUCAGAUAGAUGAUAAUGCAAAUAACAACCAAAUUUUGAGAUAUUCAUAAUUUCAUUUUCUAACCAUAAUGUCAGUCAUGUAACGUCUAAAAUAGAUAAUUAUAACGAAAACAGAUAGACAUAGCUCAUUCUAAAUUCCCCUUACUCACCUCAUUUUGGACAUUUGAAUACACCAUAUUACACAUUUUAUACAUAUUUUAUUGUUCAAUUGUUGAUAGCUUUUUAAUUUUUGCGAUUUUAAUCGAAAAGCUUAAUAAUAAUCUUAUCAUUCCCUCCUUAUUCUUAUUUCAAUUUGAUCAUCUCUUUUGCUAUUUCCAUUACGUUAUGUUCAUUACAUUAACAAUAUGAAAAUGAUUAACUGAUUUUGAAUUGAUUACGUUGUUUGUGACCUCACAAUAUAAUAAAUGAACUUUAGGUUAUACGAACUUCUGUUGCUCGUUUUGGAAAACGAUUUGUUUCUCUUUUCCUUUUUAAUUCUUUCUAUCAAAUUUCCCAAACUAAAUAUAAACUAUUUUUUUUAUUUUAUAUUAUUCAUAUUGAAGUUCGACUACAUACCUUUUUUUUGUCAAAAUGCAUUUCAAUAAUAAUAAUAAUAAUAACAAUAAAGAAAUUAAUGUUAAAGAAGAAAAUCCUGUGUGGUCGCAAAAUGUACAAGUGUAGACUCAAUUAAAGUCCAUUAAUUUGAUACAUCUAUUUAGUAGUUUUCCUGAAACAAAUUUAUUGCAUGUUUGACUACGUUUUUAAAAUUAAAUUAUUUUUUAAAUUGUUUUUUUAUAAAAGUUUUUAACAAAAUCAUAUUUUUACGAGAAACAACUUGUAUUUAAACAAUAAAUUUAAAAGUGUUAUAAUCCAUUGCAUUGUGUGGAUUAUCCAUUAGAUUUAUUAAAGAAUUAAUUGGAUUCAUGUAUGGGUGCUUCCAAGGUGAUAAGAACCUUAGGGGAUAACUAUGUAUCUACUACUUUGGUGACCUUUGGGAGUGAUAUCUCAACACUAUAAAUAGAGAUAUCACUCACCAUUUGAAAUACACUUGAAUAAGAAGAAAAGUCAUCUUCUUUAUCUCUAUAGCUUGUCUUCUUCUCUUUAUUAUAUUAUUCUGAGCUUAUAUUUUAUAACAAAAAAACAUUAUUAAGCAUCUCUAAUUAAUAUUCAUCUAAACUUUUAAAAGUGUUUCUUAGUAUUUUUUUUUUCCUCAAAUGUGUUUUUAGCAAAAAAACUACACAUCUUUUAGUUUCUGCUUCUGCUACUUUACCGAAGUACUUAUUUUUUUAAAAUAAAAAUUUGGUCAAACACUUUAAUUUUAGCCUCGCAAAAAUUUACCCAAGUAGAUUAUUACUUCCAACAAUAUAUUUAAUAUGUAUAGAUCGGAAACAUUUUAUACCUAAUGUAAAAUUUUGGAACAGAUCGAAUUAGUUGAGCUUAAAGAGGAUACGGACCACCGGAUGAUAAAAAUAAAAGAGAGAGAAAGAGUGUGUGUUUUAAAUAUGAAUUUUGCUUGUUUGUUCCUUUACUUCUGCAGGUCGCGAGACAGCAACCUUUUCGUUACUAUAUAUAUAUAUAUAUAGCUAAUAGAGUCUUUAUAUAUAGUAGGUGGACGAAGAUUUUAUGGUCAAACGCGCUAAAGCGUUUGUGAAAAAACAUUUGAUCUAGUCGCCUAGGUGUGUUUUGCUAAUCAUUAGGUGAUAGUUCAGGUAAAAUGUUCAAAUUCUCAAUAGUUUAGGGUAUGAAGCUCAAAAUUGAGAUAAUUUAAAUGCGUUUGUUAAUCUUAAUUCUUAUUUUAACAUUAGGUGAAUUCAAAAUUUGAAAAUUUGAAAAUUAUAAAUUCAUAUAAUGAUCUCAAACUAAUCAGUAUAAACUGAUAAGUGAGUUUUUUUUUUAAUUUCAGGAGAUAAGUGAGUUCAUUAUCAAUUUAUAUAUAUUUAGUGGGGCUUAAUACAUAUAUUUGCUUACCUGAUAUCUGUUGCUGGUGGAAUUGACAGGUAUCUCGUAAAAUUAGUUGAGGUGGAUAAAAAUUGACCCGAACACCACGGUCAUAAAAAAAAUACAAAUAUUUGCUUCUAAAUAAAAUAAAAUUCAUGUCAAUCUACAGUAUAUAAUUAACAAUGUUAAUUUAUUAAAUUAAUUUACUUAAUAAAUACCUUUUAAAGAGAAGCACAAAUUAACUUAGGCCGGGUAAAAUGUAACAAAGGAGUAUAUGAUGAAUGGAUUGAAUCUCACAUGCAUCGGUUUAAGAUUAUUAUUUUUUUCCAUUGAUCUAAUUCUUAAGGUGUGAGUUAUAAGGUUCAAAAUGAAAUUUGACAUAAUAUAAGAGUCAGAUCCAAUUCAUUGGGCCUUUAGAUAAGGGGGAGGGGUGGAAUGCCCUAGUAUCAGUUGAAGGGGUGUUUGUGUGUGAAAAUACCUCUAAACCAUAAAUGUGUACUGUAAUGACCCUAAAGGUCAUUUUUGGAAAUUUUCAUAAAAUGACCGUUUUACCCUUCCCGAUAGUUGCCCCGAGUCCUAAUUGUUGUAUUUUCGAAGUUGGUUUGAAGGAAAAUUGAUGAAAAGUUGAGUUUUUAAGAGUUAAAGUUUGGUUAAAAGUGCUAUUUCGAGUCAUUUGGAGUUUCGAGACUCGAAUCGGAUUUCCGUUGAUUCCAGCAGUUUUAGAAUGUCGAAACGGGUCUAUGAGAAUUUACGGAGUCGAAUUUGGAGUUAAAACGAAGAUUUGAGGUCCUAAGUUGCCAAAAUUUCAUUUGAUCAAGAGUUGACUUUGGUCAACAAACGAGGUUCCGGUGCUCGAAAUGGAAUUCCGAGGGCACCGUUGGAUUCAGGGGGUGAUUCUAAGUCUAGAAUGAGUCUUGGUUGAAUUUUUAGAGGCCCCGAGUGCGUUUCGAGUUUUUGAGCCUAAAGUUAGUUUCUUGACACCUUAUCGGAUACCGGGUCAAAGAGAUCUCGAAUUCAAAUUCCGACGAUUUCAUUGAGUCCGAAAUGUCAUUUUCAAGCUAGUAGCAUAUUUGGUUUGUGUUCGGGAAGUGCCAAAUGAGUUUUGGGUGAGCUUUUAAGCUUCUUGGAUGCUUUGACACUAUUUCAGCAAAU
This 5822-nucleotide long non-coding RNA is filed under the name Solanum tuberosum (potato). RNAcentral's name for it is "long non-coding RNA (STUB_LNC005379)". Lineage: Eukaryota; Viridiplantae; Streptophyta; Magnoliopsida; Solanales; Solanaceae. The record is from RNAcentral.